UGAAUGGCUUGACGAGAAAUCAACUGUCUCUUAAUAAUUUUUAAAAUUUAACUUUUGAGUCAAAAGGCUUAAAUUUUUCUUUAGGACGAGAAGACCCUAUAGAGCUUAACAUUUUAUUUUUAUAUAGUUUUUAGUUGAUCUUUCUAUAUUUAAUGAUAAUGUUUUGUUGGGGUGACAUGAAGAAUAAUUAAACUCUUCAUUAUAAAAUCAUUGAUUUAUGUUUAUCAUGAUCCAUAAUUUAUGAUCAUAAGAUUAAGUUACCUUAGGGAUAACAGCGUAAUUGUUUUUGAGAGCUCAUAUCGACAAAGCAGAUUGCGACCUC
Molecule: ribosomal RNA, 322 nt
Filed under: Calliptamus barbarus
Lineage: Eukaryota; Metazoa; Arthropoda; Insecta; Orthoptera; Acrididae
Description: partial 16S ribosomal RNA
Rfam family: Bacterial large subunit ribosomal RNA
Source: RNAcentral